GAAAUGCGAUAAGUAAUGUGAAUUGCAGAAUUCAGUGAAUCAUCGAGUCUUUGAACGCACAUUGCGCCCCCUGGCAUUCCGGGGGGCAUGCCUGUCCGAGCGUCAUUGCUGCCCUUCAAGCCCGGCUUGUGUGUUGGGUCGUCGUCCCCUCCGGGGGACGGGCCCGAAAGGCAGCGGCGGCACCGCGUCCGGUCCUCGAGCGUAUGGGGCUUUGUCACCCGCUCGAUAAGGACCGGCCGGGCGCCAGCCGGCGUCUCCAACCUUUUUUUCUCAGGUUGACCUCGGAUCGGGUAGGGAUACCCGCUGAACUUAAGC
Molecule: unclassified non-coding RNA, 315 nt
Filed under: plant metagenome
Description: partial contains 5.8S ribosomal RNA, internal transcribed spacer 2, and large subunit ribosomal RNA
Rfam family: 5.8S ribosomal RNA (bases 1-105)
Source: RNAcentral